Molecule: ribosomal RNA, 618 nt
Filed under: uncultured bacterium
Lineage: Bacteria
Description: bacterial SSU rRNA
Rfam family: Bacterial small subunit ribosomal RNA
Source: RNAcentral
CCUACGGGAGGCAGCAGUGGGGAAUUUUGGACAAUGGGCGCAAGCCUGAUCCAGCAAUGCCGCGUGCAGGAUGAAGGCCUUCGGGUUGUAAACUGCUUUUGUACGGAACGAAACGGCGAGCUCUAAUAAAGUUCGCUAAUGACGGUACCGUAAGAAUAAGCACCGGCUAACUACGUGCCAGCAGCCGCGGUAAUACGUAGGGUGCAAGCGUUAAUCGGAAUUACUGGGCGUAAAGCGUGCGCAGGCGGUGAUGUAAGACAGAUGUGAAAUCCCCGGGCUCAACCUGGGACCUGCAUUUGUGACUGCAUCGCUAGAGUACGGUAGAGGGGGAUGGAAUUCCGCGUGUAGCAGUGAAAUGCGUAGAUAUGCGGAGGAACACCGAUGGCGAAGGCAAUCCCCUGGACCUGUACUGACGCUCAUGCACGAAAGCGUGGGGAGCAAACAGGAUUAGAUACCCUGGUAGUCCACGCCCUAAACGAUGUCAACUGGUUGUUGGGUCUUCACUGACUCAGUAACGAAGCUAACGCGUGAAGUUGACCGCCUGGGGAGUACGGCCGCAAGGUUGAAACGUCAAAGGAAUUGACGGCNGAGAGNGCGAGGACGACGACGAGGGAGGAG